CAAACUGUGUACCGAAGCUGUGGCUUGCUGGAGGUUAGAAGUGAGAAGUUAGAGGUUAGAAGAGUGAGAGGAGUAUCAUGAUGAUAAAAUCGUAUAAAGAUUUGGAAGUAUAUAAAGAGUCAUACUCCUUAACAAUAACUAUAAUGAAGAUGACGCUCAAAUAUCCUGAGCAUGAAAGGUAUGAGUUGGUAAGCCAGAUAAGGCGAGCUGCGAUAUCAAUACCGUUAAAUAUAGCAGAAGGAUAUGGGCGAAAGGAAUCUGUAUCAGAUUUUAAAAGAUUUCUAAAAAUGACAUUAGGUUCGUGUAAUGAAGUUGUGGUGUUAUUGGAUAUGAGCAAAGACUUAGAAUACAUCACAAAUGAAGAACACAAAGAAUUAGUGGAAAGAUAUGAUGUUUUAGGAAAGAGGAUAAAUACACUGAUACAGAGAUGGGAAUAAUCUAACGUCUAACAUCUGACUUCUAACUUCUAGCAGGGGUAGGGGAGCUUACUAUGGUAGGUAGAAGCAUGACCGGAAGGACAUGUGGACGAGAUAGUAGUGAGAAUGCCGGAAUAAGUAGCGAGAGUGAAGUGAGAAUCUUUACCGUCGAAAAUCUAAGGUUUCCUGGGGAAGGUUCGUCCGCCCAGGGUAAGUCGGGACCUAAGCCGAGGCCGAAAGGCGUAGGCGAUGGGGAACAGGUUGAAAUUCCUGUACUACCGCUGCUCGAUUGAGAGAAGUGGGGACGCAGGGGGAUAGGUCAAGCGAGUGACUGGAAGAGCUCGUCCAAGCGGCAAGUAGAGUCCGGUAGGCAAAUCCGCCGGAUGAUUAUGAGCCGUGAUGGGGAGGGAAAAUAUAGUACCGAAGUGACCGAUUUCGCACUGACGAGAAAAGCCACUAUCGAGAGUAGAGGUACCCGUACCGCAAACCGACACAGGUAGAUGAGGAGAGAAUCCUAAGACGAGCGGGAGAAGCGUUGUUAAGGAACUCGGCAAAUUGACCCCGUAAGUUCGCGAGAAGGGGUGCCUGUGAGAGCAGGCCGCAGAGAAUAGGCCCAAGCAACUGUUUAUCAAAAACACAGGUCUCUGCUAAAUCGAAAGAUGAAGUAUAGGGGCUGACGCCUGCCCGGUGCUGGAAGGUUACGGGGAUCUGUUAGCGCAAGCGAAGCAGUGAACUUAAGCCCCAGUAAACGGCGGCCGUAACUAUAACGGUCCUAAGGUAGCGAAAUUCCUUGUCGGGUAAGUUCCGACCCGCACGAAUGGCGUAAUGAUUUGGGCACUGUCUCAACAACGUCCCCGGCGAAAUUGUAGUACUUGUGAAGAUGCAAGUUACCCGCGACAAGACGGAAAGACCCCAUGGAGCUUUACUGUAGCCUGAUACUGGGUUUCGGUAUUCUUUGUACAGGAUAGGUGGGAGAUAGGGAAGUGUGGACGCCAGUCUGCAUGGAAUCGCCGUUGGGAUACCACUCUAAGGGUACUGGGACUCUAACCUGAGGCCAUGAGCUGGUCUAGGGACACUGUCAGGUGGGCAGUUUGACUGGGGCGGUCGCCUCCUAAAAGGUAACGGAGGCGUCCAAAGGUUACCUCAGCGCGGUUGGAAAUCGCGCAUC
RNAcentral lists this ribosomal RNA (1584 nucleotides) under bioreactor metagenome. RNAcentral describes it as "bacterial LSU rRNA". It matches the Rfam family "Bacterial large subunit ribosomal RNA", at positions 1183 to 2346 of the family's 2925-position model. The record is from RNAcentral.